Mus musculus (house mouse) is the source of this 7031-nucleotide long non-coding RNA. RefSeq annotates it as predicted gene, 54220. NCBI's taxonomy places the organism in Eukaryota, Metazoa, Chordata, Mammalia, Rodentia, Muridae. The transcript is spliced from 2 exons. The record is from RefSeq and is a predicted model, not a curated record.
ACUACAAAGAAAUGAGAAAGAGAUGUGAUCCAGCUGUCCCUUGUCAGUCACAAAUGACACUGGCUUCACAAGGUCAGAGUCUGCUUUUCAAAGACAGUUAUAAGAAGGCUGUAUGGUUUGUCCUUGGUUACUAAUGAGUCUGUGGUAAGGUGUACAUAGUCUCCUCACAUCUCUUCUAAAUGUCUGACCACACAGUCCCUCUCCCCCAUUCGCCUUUGCCAGUUCCUACAGGAGCUCCACAAUUGAAGACUGGAUCCGAGCAAAGUUAACUUUAGCUAGUCUUAAGACUGGAGUCUUCGCCAGCUAAAAAUGUUUCCCCUUGCUCCUUCUGGGAAUGCCUGGCCUGCCUCCUGCUUAUGUUAAUAACUGAAAAUUGCCUGCACUUGUCAUGCCCCCUCAUAUUUUAACAGUGACAUUUUCUCAGGAGCAAGACAAUUCAUGCUCAGAUGCUGUACAUAUGACAGUGAAGCCUGUAGACAGGGAAAUAUGAGCCAGAGCCAGGAGAUUGCAGACAGGAGAUGAAAGCUUAGUGAAUGGCUAGGAUGACCCCUUUGGUACAAUGAGAGGGAGCCUUGUAUUGUCUGAUGAAGACUAAGAAGUAGGCUAUAUUCACUGCAAGAGAACACAAGGUCAGGGAAGGCCAUAGAAGAAAUAGAGUACACUCAAGGAGCCUGCUCAUGUGGCAGAGGCAGAGGCAGGUAACCAUUGCUACCUGUUUAGUCAGUGUAAGAUGAUUUCCACUUGCAAAGCCAAGGUGGCUGUGCAGCCACCAGCUCGGAGCCCAUGAGUUGCAGCGCCCCAGUCAACUCAUACAUGACUCACAUGGGGCAGGCAUGUUGUGAAGGUGUGGCUGAGAGCUGGAGGUGGGUCACAGACUCACAGAUGCCCAGUGUGGGGCCCUACCCUCUUCCCUCAUCCCAGGUCAGAAGGAGGCAUGCAAACCAGGAUAGGUAGGCAAUCUGGAAGGAAGACACCAUCUAGCCCCAUUCCUGAAGGUGACGAACAGUGUCACACAGCUUGAGAAUCAGGAGCAAAAACCAAAAUCCAAAGAACAGAAGAGUCUUGUACAGAUGUGCAGUUCCACAUCUGAGCCCAUCACCCAACAUUAACUGUGCAAGCAUGUCUGCGGGCUACCCUUAGCUCCCUAUACCCAUGGCAUAGAGUCAUCCACUUACAUGUAGAACCAGGAUUUGAACAGAAGCCCCUCUAAAGGCUCUGGACUCUCCAUGUUGUCAUUUGCAUGUGACAGUGAAGGAAAUGGUUGCAGGGACAUGAUGUUUGCUAAAAGCUAGAAAACUAGUGAUAAACAGUGGGGUCGUACACCCCUGUAACCCUAGCACUUGGGAGGUGGAGGUAAGAGCAUCAAGAGUUCAAGGCUAGUCUCUGCAACAAAGCAAGUUCAAGACCAGCCUCAGCUACAUGAAACUGUCUCAGAAACAACAACAAGGGUAGAAUCAGACUAGGCUAGGACUUGUUACUUGAGUUUCAGCCUAGUGCCUCUUUCAGUAGUUUGGUUACAUGUCCACAUCUCAUCUGAUGCUCACAGGAUCUCCUCUGUUAGAGAAGAAAGCCAUAGACCUAUUUGCAGACUGACUGCAACCUUAGAAACUGGCCUUUGAUGGAAAGUACAGAAGGAGAGCAGGUUGGGGAGGCAUAAGGUGGGAGGGAUGGACUCCCAUUACUCUUCCUCCUUGUAUACAUGAGGCUAGAUCCGAGUGCAUGGUUCUUAAGGACUGGCGUUCACAGAAAGGGGCACCCAUGUACUAAGGUAUUACGUUUCCAUUUUGAUGAUGGACCAAGAAAGGGAAGCCACCCACCAUAAAAGUUCUAGCAAGUGACUUGGAGUAGAAGCCAGGUCUCUAACUCAACAUAAAUGUGUGUGUGUGUGUGUGUGUGUGUAUGUGUGUGUGUGUGUGUACACAUACAUCUAUGUAUGUACACACACACACACACACACACACAUAUAUAUAUAUAUCCCCUUGUUCACCAUGGCAAUAGCCACAGGCUCCCUUGUUUAUUAGCAGAGCCAGAGGAGAUCUCUAGUCACCAGGACCCAUCUCCAUUCAUUGUCUGACCUCCCUUUACUCCUUGUGGGCAGAUGACUCUCCCACGUCUUAGGAAGCACUCUGUGCUCGUUUGUGUAAGACAGCACUUGCCUGGUGCUCUGUGACAUGCACAAGAGUCCAGGAUGAAGAUACAAACGCUGAACAACCUUGGCAGAAGAUUACAGGUGUCCUGGCAGACCCCUGAGGUGUAAGACAUGUGGGUGAAGUAGCCCAGUCCUCUAAGAUGGUCACUAGGUUCUCUAGGUUGUGAAAGGAGAAAGGGUAGAGAAUGGUAAGGCACGAAUGCCUUGUCUAUAAAUAAGUUUGUUGGUGGCACUUCUGGGGGCACUCAGGGUACCCGGAAUGGAUGCUUAGCCUGGCAAGAAGAUGGCUUGUCAGGAUGUCCUGAGGAGCCAGCCCUCCCUAGAUGACAUACAGAGCAGGGCUCUGAAAAGAGACUUCUUUCUGUUCAAUCCUCAGUUCUUCCUACCACAGACCUGCAUUUUUACUAAAAAGUGGGGAUAAUACUAGAAGGCUAUGGCCGGUUGUUAGUAGUGUGGGUUAAUAUGGUUAAUAAUAGGGAAAAUGUUCAGAAGAGAGCCUGGUGCAUCACAGUGCCUGCCAACUGUUUCUGUCAAGGGAAAUGGGAGCCACAUGGGGGAGUUGAGCCUGAGCCAUGGCAGCUGGCAAGGCCUCUGAGUAGCAGAGUGGAGGGGUCAGCUUUGGGAAGAGUGCUACCGGGAGAUAUCCAUCUGCAGAUGCCCUGAAGUCAGGGAAGCUUCGGGGGAAUGUGGCCAGUUGGACUGGAGGCUGGAGGUGGGAGUUGCAGAGGUGACUGGCUGACAGGAACCUGGUCAGCAUCCAGGAGAUACCUAGAUUUCUCCUUGGGAUAGCUGUCCUUAAGGACACUUGCCCUAAUGGUUUCAGGAUAAGAAGAAAGUUAUUUGGGAUCCAGUUAGGCAUAAUGAUUAUCCCCAAAGAUCCAAAGUCUGUAUCAUAGAGGUGUGCGCAGCACGACUCACAGUUGCCAAGAUAAGGAAUCCAACUAUAGAUGAACAGGUAAGGAAAAUAUGGGAUCUGUGCAUGACACUGUCUGACCUUAACACCAAACCUCUGCUGUCUGCCAGCCACAGUGUGAGGAUUGCCAUGCCGAGUGAAACAGCCAGAUGCAGAAAAACAGAUCCCCCACACCCUCACAUACAAGUGGCAUCUGAAGAAAUCCGGCAGCAGACCAGUAGAAUACUGGGUACAGAAGCUGGAUAGUGAGAGGGAGGGGCGGUGGGGGGGGGGAGUCAAAAGUCAAAAUCUCACGAGGAAGCAAGUGACGUUUUUGUUUCCUUCGAGACCUUCACAGAAUAUGGAACGUGGUUGCUAAUGGCACAUUGAACAUUUUAAAAUUAAGAGUACAUUUCAACUGAUUUUACCAUGGAAAAAUAAGGAGGUGCUAACUAUGCUAACUAACAAUAUGAUAAUAAUUAUUCUAAUUUUUAAUCUUGAGUUAAAACAUGUACCUCAUAAAUAGAUACAAUUAUAACUUGUUAAUUUAUUGUUAAAAAUUAAAAGAUGAUCUGAGGUUUGCUCUUGAAGUGCCCGUUAGAAAGGCGUUGAGACCAUGGGAAAGGAGAGAUGUACUGCUUGUAAAUGUGUUCUUUUCUGCACACCUCCCUCCACCACUCCUAACUUGGAGGCUAUGGUCUCGAUUUUGUUAAGGGUGCUGAUGGCAGAUUCGGAGGACCUGAGAGUCACCCUUAGCCUGACCCGGGCUAUAAAUAGCAUGGAGACAGGAGUCAUCUGAGGCUCUACGGCAGGAUGGACAAGAGGUGACACCUCAGCUCUGUCCUUUAACCAUACUCUGGGGUUCUAUAAGCAUAUGAAGAACAGUGUGCUCUGAGCUCAGGGUGGGAAAGACCAAAAGAUGCAACCGGAUAGACCAUCAAAGGCACUGGCUCAGCGCUCCCAAGGAAGAGCCAACCUGCUGGCCCCAGCUGCAGAGCCACUACUGCAGAGGCCCCAGUGCCAAGCCACUGACCAGCCCUGAGGGAAGCAGGAGGGACAUCGGAGAGGCCUGCUCGCUUCCCAUGCGUGCCCUAGCACAGAGUUGCUGACAACCACCGUACCAAGGAGACCAGCAGGAGGAUGUCAUGAUAAAACAGCCAGCUGGGCGGCAUGGGAGCCUGCUUUCCCACAGCAUGGCAGCAGGACGGAGCCCCCAGGAAGAUGGUAGACGUUUUUUCUUUUGCUGGAAGAAGCCAAUUGUACAGGUUAGAAUCCUAAGUCGUUCUCAUAAUGAUAAUUAGCAAAUGGAUACACAUUUGCAUUUCAAACUGGAAGUCAUGCAUCACUACCUAACACUAUGAAUGUGGCCUGUGUCACUGAGACUAUCCUCCAGUGAGAAACAUCAAGGGGACAGCUAGGGUACACAGACAGGCCCCCGGGGUGCCUAGAGGAUGCUGUCAUCAUUUCAUCUUGGCAUCCCUGUUCAACAAACAGCCAUGGUUCCUGCUCGCCACAUGCCUUCACUGAGGUUUCUUGGGCUUCCUUGCCCCAAGUCCAAUCACAGUCCAUCACUGAGGGAAAUCAGGGAAGGAACUCGGGGCAGGAUACCUAUAGGCAGGAACUGAAGCAGAGGCCAUGGAGGAACACUGCAUACUGGCUUGCUCUCCCUGGCUUGCUUAGCUACCUUUCUUGUACAACCCAGGACCAUCUGCCCAGGGUGCUGAUGGCCCUCUCAUAUUAGAAAAUGCCCCACAGGCUUGUCUGGAGGCCGGUCUGAUGGAGGCAAUUCCUUGCUUGAUAUUCCCUGUUGCCAGACAACUUUAGCUUGUGUCGAGUUGACGUUAAAACUAAAAAGUACAGCCAUCCUGUAGGCCAGGCCCCCUAUUAAGGCUUGAACCCCCGUCCUUCCUAGAGCUACUGCCGGGUCAUCUCCUGACCAUCCCUGUCAGCCUCUCUUUCUCUUUCAAGGCUGGCCAAAGACCCUCCUCACCAGGAUGCUUCGCUCAACUGGCUUCUGCUCCCAUAAAUCACUUCCUCAUGCUGUUUGGACAGAGCUUGCUGGCAUUCUUGAGUUUUUAAGCAUGCCUUUGAGUCUUUUCCCCUAAAAGGUGGCAAGCCUUCGUACAUCCAAGAGCUUAGCCUUUCUAUUAUGCCAGGCCACCCAGCACAGCCUAGUCACACCAAGGUUUCUCAGAAAAGUGACUAACAGUGGCUGUGACCCAAGCCAUGGUCCCCAACCUCCUCAGACUUUAGUCUUAAGUAGGGAAGUAGAGAGUGAGCUUGCAAUCCAGUCAGCUCUAGCUUUGAGUCCUUGCGAUGUGAGUUGGGGGUCUAUGGCCUGGACUCUGAGUCUCAGAACUUGUCUGUCUCAUUCAGAAAGAUUCCUGUAUAUAUCCCUGCAGCACCCCUGGCUAGUCAUCUGGUAUACCCCAGCAGUGCUCCUGGCUAGUCAUCUGGUAUACCCCAGCAGUGCUCCUGGCUAGUCAUCUGGUAUACCUCGGCAGUGCUCCUGGCUAGUCAUCUGGUAUACCCCGGCAGUGCUCCUGGCUAGUCAUCUGGUAUACCCCGGCAGUGCUCCUGGCUAGUCAUCUGGAAACUCUUUCUGCCAAAGAAGGAUGUGAUUCAGAGAAGACAAGUGACAGUGGGCACUGAGUAUCAUGUCAAAUGCUUAAUCUAUAACUAGGGGGAAAUGUGAGAUUAUCGCUUCUCCGAGUAAUACUCAGGGGUUUUUAAAUGUUGGUUCACACCCAGCUCACAGCUGAGCCUACAAUAAUACUCUGAUAGUUGGCCUCAUCCAGUGAUUCAGUUGAGCCAUCACUUCUGUGUUGUAGUAAGUUUGCAUCAUAUUUAUGUUUGAUCUUACUUUGUUUCAAAUAAUGGCAUCUCGGAUAAUCCAAGACAGAGAUCUCUUUUUCUAGGCUCUGGAAAAAGUGGCCUGUGGCGUGAGCAGUAGACAAAGAGCUUUUCAAGCUAUGAUGCUCUGCUUGAGAGCAGGAGCCUGUAUCCCCAGCAUCCUUAGCACUUAGGCCGAUGGUUCCUGAAGCUGAAGCACUCAAUUGGAAGUAUGAACUCUUCCCAAGCUAAUACUGGAGAACCACCACCUUGUUUCUUAACUGCGUCCUGUGAUGCCCCUGAGAUGCCGCAGAAUAAACGGCUGUCUGUGGCCACACCUCGUGCCACACAGGGCAGUGCGAUGGACUCUGCAGGAGAAGAGAGAGGUUAUUCUACAGUCGGCUAUAGUUGGGUUGAGAGAGCGAGGCGCACUGUGGCUGUUGUAGCUUAUGUCCUCGCCUGCUUAUGGUGACUGAGGGUUUUCAGUCUGAUGAGAAUAUGACAAGUGCCUCAGGUGUUCGGGUCUAUGAUGAGGAACCAGGGGCUGAGACCCUGGAUGUCAGACCAUUCUCUAUUCUCUUCACUCAUUUUAUUGUGACCUAGGGGACAUUUGUAACUGGAGCACUUGAAAAUACAAUAAUCCCAGCACCUGGGAGACAGAGGCGAGCAGAUCUCUGUGAGUUCAAGGCCAGCCUGGUCUACAUAAUGAAUUCCUGGACAACUAAAACUGUAUAGUGAAGAAGAAAGAAAGAAAAGACAUCAUCAGGAAGGUGUCUGGCAAGCACUUGGCCAACACCAGUCUUACUGGCACCUCUCACUGGCAGAAGCAUCACUCUGUUUGCAAGCAGCCAAUUCUUCUACUCUGCUGACACACCUCUGGGGAAGAAGCUCACCACCUGAGACACCUGCUUUGUCCUGGGGUAGCACCACUGAUUAGAAAGGCCUUUCUCACCAAAGUGCUACAACACAGACUAGUACAGGGGACACGUAUGACAGUGAUUUAAAGUAGUCUGUGGAGAGAAAUGGGGAGGGAUAUCUAACAUGAAGUAUAUUCUGAAACACACACACACACACACACACACACACACACACACACACACACACGAGAAUGCUUGUCCCAGACGUCAUUGGUUGCUGAAUAAAAAUCCCAGUGCCAGA